GAGGAAGGCAGCUGUUACCCAAGCCCUGCACCUCCAUCUUCCCAGAGUCUCGUGGGAAACAGAUUUCAAACAACAACAGACAGCAAGACUGAGAAACUACGAAAGAUCAGCCUGGUCAUGCAGGCACAUCUGUGGGAGAAGCAAGUAGACUCUAUAGGGGAAAAGCAGGAGAAAAGAUGGGAGAAGCCUUGGGUGACAGAAGGAGGAAGCCUUGAAUGUGAGUCCAACAUGUUAGCUUUUUUCCUGCAGGCAGGAGGCAGCCAUUGAGGCCUCUGGACAUUCAAGUAGCAAGAGGUAAAU
This 300-nucleotide long non-coding RNA is filed under the name Homo sapiens (human). RNAcentral describes it as "non-protein coding lnc-C5orf58-1:3". The record is from RNAcentral. Lineage: Eukaryota; Metazoa; Chordata; Mammalia; Primates; Hominidae.